UGUUUGUCACUCUAGAAAAUCUCCUCACUGCAAUCCAAGCAGUUAUAAUUGGCUCACAGAUUGACAACUUAUUCCUAUAAUAUUGAAUGGAAUCCUCAUAUAUAAAAUUGACACAGACAUUUUUCUUUUCACUGGAAUCAAGAAUAUCCCAAUAAAAGCCAUAGGCAUGCUGUGCUGUAUAAACUAAGCAAUGAGUUUGUGGGUAUGUGUGACACAGGAUCUAGAUAUAUUUUGGAAGUGUCUUGCCAGAAGUAAAAGUUCAUACAAUCUGUGAUGAUUCUGAAUACUAAUGGGUUUUCUUGGUAUUUUCAGAAAGAUAAAAUGUUUUUCAUUGAUCAAAGUAUAUAAAUGUCUUGAUAUUAUUUAGGCAAUGAAUAACUCAGGUUUCAUUUUUUGCUAUUUUUUUCUUUUCUUUUAUUGGAUAUUUUCUUUAUUUACAUUUCUUUUUUAAUUUUAUUUUUCUUGGAUAUUUUAUGUAUUUACAUUUCAGAUGUUGUCUCCUUCUCCACCCCUCUUCCAUUCCCCCUUCUCCCUUCCCCUGAUUCUAUGAGGAUGCAUCCACUCCCACCCACCCACUCCAGCAUCAAUGCCCUGGCAUUAUCCUACUUUGGGGAAAUGAGCCUUCAGAGGACCAAGGAUUUUUCCUCCUGUUGAUGGUGGACAAUGCCAUCCUCUGCUACAUAUGCAGCUGGAGCCAUGGGUGCCUCCAUGUGUACUCAUUGGUUGGUGGUUUAGUCCCUGGGAGCUCGGGCAUGGUGGGGUGGGGAUUAUGGUUGGUUGAUAUUGUUGUUCUUCCUAUGGUGUUGCAAACCCCUUCAGCCUUUUCUCUAACUACUCCAUUGGAGUCACCUAGUUCAGUCCAAUGGCUAGCUGCAAGCGUCCUCAUCUGUAUCAGUAGGGCUCUGGCAAAGUCUCUCAGGAGACACCCAGAUCUGACUCCUGUUAGCAAGCAGUUCUUGGUAUCAGCAAUAGAGAGAUCCUAGGUAGCUCAGUCAGUAGAGUAUCAGGUUUUAUUUUUUAUUCAGUUAAAACUUGAAUCUAAAAGAGUCACAAACAUCUUGAUCUUUGGAAGAGUUUUAAGAUUCUUUGUGUUAUUUGUGCUUACAAUCAAAUCUACAUUCUUACUAAGGUCUGUGUUAAAGCUAUGUGAGCACCUCUUCCCAGAUUGCUUUUGUUGUUAAUAUUUAUUUGUAAAUAAAAAGAUCAUCAAGAUUAUUUUGUCACCGGGCUUCUAAGACUCUGGAUAUAUUGAAUCUGUGGUUCUUCUCUUCAUCA
RNAcentral lists this long non-coding RNA (1275 nucleotides) under Rattus norvegicus (Norway rat). RNAcentral describes it as "long non-coding RNA NONRATT001596". The record is from RNAcentral. Lineage: Eukaryota; Metazoa; Chordata; Mammalia; Rodentia; Muridae.